UUUUUGUGUGUGUUCAGGUGGCAAACUCAGAUUAAGGAAACUAUUUAAAAAAAUUAUUUUGCCCAAAUUUGGGCUUUCUGGAGGCUAACAUAAUUUACAAUUAGCCUACAGCGCACCCUUAUGGCUGCUCCAGUUGAACUACAGUUUCCGGUUGAUGAUUGCUCGCGCGAGGCUUGGCACAAAAGUGAUCUCGCGCGAACAGCCCUGCUGCGGUACUGAGGUAAACAGAAGAAAACUGCGGAUCCGCUUCGGACUUGGGUUUAAAGCGAUGGACGCGUUGGACAUGUUAUUACAGCAAACAGACUAUCACAAUUUUGAGAGAGAGGCUAAGUACCACUACCUCGCUAACUUUCCUCCAAGACAAGAGUCAGGAUACUACAGUGAGGUGAACAUCUUGGUUCUCAGGGAGGUUACUACCAAAUCUGUCUCUAUGAAGCUGCGGCGCAGGACAGUCCUGAGAAGCCGACGGCUUCGACAGCGAGAACAUGUGAAGGACUCUGAGAGCAUCUCUGUGGUGUUGAGGGACGCUGACUCUAGUCAGUCAGACAGUGUGGAAGAAAUAAAAGAUCAGGUGUCUGUUCUUCGUGAUAUGGAGCGGCCGGUAAGGAAGAGUAGAGCUGGUUCAUCAUGUCGCGUGAGAAAAGAAGGCGAGAGGCCGCUUUCUGAUGUGGAAGCACAACCUGGGACGGUUCAGAAGAUCUCCCUGGCUCCAGGUGCAAUGGCUGAGGACACUCUAGAGAAACUCAGGUUUAGGGCUAAUACCUCUAAGACCAAGAUCGAGAUUGAGUCUCGAGCAGAGCUUGAGUCUAUUUUGGACGAAUCCAGUACUGAUUUCACAGUGGAAUCGGGUCCCAGCUCACCCUGUCGUCCUCUCAAUACAGUAAGAUGCAGAGAGUGCGAGAGACUUUUCGCAAAGAUGAGAAAACAUCCCACCCCGGAAAAGAAAAGCAGAGAUACAGAUCCAGCAUCUUUAUCUUGUGAUGUGUGGGUUCUGCUUAAGAAGUGGCACCCUCAGAGACACCGUCAUCGAGAGAAGGGAUUAUUGUGGACGAGCCUGAGUCGGAUCAGGAAGCUGUUAGCAGGAGGCUCCGACUUUGCAGCUGUCAACAGAACAGAAGCAAACUGCUCCAGACCUCAUGUAUUUCAGCAGAGGAAUUUACGGCGCUGCAAGUAUCUGCUUUCCAUUCAGACCAACCGGUCCAUUACCAAAGCAAAGCCACGGCAUCGUAAGAGGUCACGAUCUGUGGUCUGGCCACCCCUCGCUGGCUGGACAUCUUCAGUGAAAAGGAAGCCUUCUUUGAACAACACAUUUUCUCAGCAGCUUUCUCCUCUCAACCUUAGUGUUAGGAUGACACAGGAGGACAAACUGUUUGUAGAUGAUAAGAUUUCAAGAUUAAAUGCAGAUUUGAAGCAGAACUCAGAUGCCUCCAGCGAACAGAGGACGACUAAUGUCCGUGGCAAACUGAACAAGCAGGAAGUGUUUGAUGGCAUAGAAGGAACGCGGCGGGUGCUGAAGUUUGAUGAAACGCCUGAAACUGUUGCUGUGGAAGCUGCGGAACAGAGGAAAAGCCCUCGGCAGAAGCACAAACGUGGAGUGAUUCGUGAAGCUCAGAAUGGUUUCCAGAAUGAGCAGCAGGAGGAGAUUUCUGAGGAUUCGGAUGGGUUCAGGACUCCCACAGAUCUGUUCAGCGUGAAGCCUAAAAUGAAAGGAGGGAACCAGAAGAAAGUCUCUGCCUCUGGUGUAACAAAACCUGCCGCUCAGAAGCCCAACUUCAUGUCCAUGUUAGCCACUCUGGUGAAGAAUCAGAAUCAGAUUAUUAAAGAGUCCUGCAAAUGAGUCUCUAUGAAAGUCCUGCAAUUAGAUUUGUGUGUCAUUUUGUAUAAAUGAAGAGACAUGCAUCGUUGCUGUUGAGAUUUGUUUUAUUGUGUAACUUGUUUAAAUUAAUAGAUCUGAUUUCUGAAAAAAAAGUCUGGUUAUAUUUAUUGUAUUGUUCAGUUGUUUGUGUUCUAACGUUUGUAUUUGCAUGAGUAAAUAAAUCUUGCAUAAACAUCUUUUUGUCUUUGCUUAACACAGAGUGGCUUGAACUGUAGUUAUAGUUAUUGUAAUCACCACAGAGUGGAGCUGUUUCCAAACAAACCUGCGCAUUUAAAC
Molecule: long non-coding RNA, 2152 nt
Organism: Cyprinus carpio carpio
Lineage: Eukaryota; Metazoa; Chordata; Actinopteri; Cypriniformes; Cyprinidae
Source: Ensembl